UACGUAGGGACCAAGCGUUGUUCGGAUUUACUGGGCGUAAAGGGCGCGUAGGCGGCGUGACAAGUCAAUUGUGAAAUCUCCGGGCUUAACUCGGAACGGUCAAUUGAUACUGUUGUGCUAGAGUACAGAAGGGGCCAGCGGAAUUCUUGGUGUAGCGGUGAAAUGCGUAGAUAUCAAGAAGAACACCUGAGGUGAAGGCGGGUUGCUGGGCUGAUACUGACGCUGAGGCGCGAAAGCUAGGGUAGCAAACGGG
This 253-nucleotide ribosomal RNA is filed under the name uncultured bacterium. RNAcentral's name for it is "partial 16S ribosomal RNA". It matches the Rfam family "Bacterial small subunit ribosomal RNA", at positions 524 to 776 of the family's 1533-position model. The record is from RNAcentral.